Molecule: long non-coding RNA, 535 nt
Organism: Gossypium arboreum
Lineage: Eukaryota; Viridiplantae; Streptophyta; Magnoliopsida; Malvales; Malvaceae
Exons: 3
Source: RefSeq, a predicted model, not a curated record
UGAUAAGAAAUUCAUGUCUUUUGUAUUAAAGAAUUAAAUGGAUGAAAUAUGAAGUUUUAUUAAAAGAAAAAGGGGUGAAAAGAACAAAGUUUUGUCCAUCUUUGUUCAUCAUAGCUGAAAGUUAGAGAAGAGAAAGGAGAGGAGAAAGCUCUUGAGUAUUCGGUCAUUAGGAGGAGGAAAAUUGAAGGCAGUUCGUGUGUGUGGAUCUCGUCAGCAUAUCGUCGCAAACAGGAAAUCCCCAACCAUAGUGGGCUUGGAGCUGUGAGGGAAUUCAGAGUGGCCACCCAUUCUAAAAGUUUGAUUUUCUUCUGGUGAACUGGACAUCCUUUUAAUUACGUUUGAGGUUUUGUGAUUUUAAAUGUAAUAAGGUCGCUUAUUUAUUUUUGAUGGUUUUUAUAUGUUUUAUUAAGAUAGGUAAUAUUUAUAUUUAACUGUUGAAAUUGGAUAGCUUUAGGGCGCGUUUUCAAAAACAGUAAUUGAUUUCAAAAUAACACGAAAACAAGAAAAGCUUCCGCAAUGAAAGUAUUUUCCAAAA